AGAUAAAAUUAAUUGAGUUGCAUUCAAUAAAAGCUAAAGCUUUAUCUA
RNAcentral lists this transfer RNA (48 nucleotides) under Lebertia trifurcilla. RNAcentral describes it as "tRNA-Ala". Lineage: Eukaryota; Metazoa; Arthropoda; Arachnida; Trombidiformes; Lebertiidae. The record is from RNAcentral.